Molecule: long non-coding RNA, 914 nt
Filed under: Nicotiana tabacum (common tobacco)
Lineage: Eukaryota; Viridiplantae; Streptophyta; Magnoliopsida; Solanales; Solanaceae
Description: long non-coding RNA (NTAB_LNC002147)
Source: RNAcentral
AAGAAUAUGACAUAGAUAUAUGACACAUAUGUUUAACGUUAAUUAGAUCUAGUCAACGUAUGCUGUACAAGUAGUGAAAUUAAAGCUACCCCAACCAGCAUUAGAAUUGAAGCUGAAUAUAAUAGCCUAUUAUUUUAUUAUUCAUAAAUAAAAAGUCAUUCCACUUGAAUUUCUUUGUCAUUCAUGCAAAGUAUGUAAGGCAAAGACAUAAAGAGAAUUAAACAGAAUCAGUACUGAUGCAUAAUAGAGAUCUUAUUUCAUCGCAAUUGGGCACUAAAUGUAACAUUUGUGUGUAGCUAGUUCAGCGACACCGGUAAAGAGUAGGAUCCCAGAGCUCAUAUGUACAGCUGCAGCAAAUCAAACAAUCACUUCUGCAAUCAUCAUCAGAAAUACAAGGUCUCCCACAAGUGAAAAUAUCAUUAAAUUGUGGAAGUAAUCUCCUUUUCGGUGCUGAUAGAUUUGGAUCGACAUUUCUUGCGGCCAUAACUUCAUUCUUGGAAAACCACAUCGCAUCAACUGAAAAUAUUAAUCUCCAUCAUAAUUAUAAAAUUAAGUUAUGAUUGGUAUAAUACGAAAAAUCACAAUAAUGUAGGUUUACAACAAAGAGGUAAAGAGAGAUAAAUACUAACUAGUGAUAAUCAUGAGAAGAAUAGUGAAGACCGAACCAAACUUAAGCCACGCCAUACUAGGUCAAAUACUUCAAGCUUUAUGAAAUUUUUUUUUGUGAGCGUCUUGUUGCUCUUCAAAAGUCACAAUUUAUAGUUGUGACUAUAGUUUGCUCUUAUGAUGUUAAGACUUGUCUGAGUUGACCUUGCAUCUAAACUUUUGCAAUCGCAUCUGAACUUUUGCAAUCAAUUACAUCAAUCGUAAUCAAUUAUUUCUAAUUAAACUAUUCUUGGCUUACCAGCCUUGAA